Molecule: long non-coding RNA, 974 nt
Organism: Mauremys reevesii (Reeves's turtle)
Lineage: Eukaryota; Metazoa; Chordata; Testudines; Geoemydidae
Exons: 3
Source: RefSeq, a predicted model, not a curated record
CUGGGGGAGUGUCUCUGGACGUGGGAUCCGGGCAGGACCCCCCUCGGGACAGAAUUCCCCCCCCUGUGGGCCCCUGUUUCAGGCAGGCGUGGAGUAGACCUCUCCCCAUGAUGGAGAAGGACUCUGCUGGGCGAGUUUCCAUGAGACAGGGCUCACUCCUCAUUUGUCGGGGCAGGAAAAGGGGUUUUGCACUCUUCUAAAGCAGAGUCAGGGUUUGCCAGCCUUCUCCUAGUCACAACCUCUGUAAUGCUCCUGUCUGUGCAGGAGGAGGCCUGGGAAAUCCCUUCAUCCAAGCUAGUAGGGUGACCAAACCUCUGGAUAUUAUCAGAACCCUCCUGAUAUUAGGGGGUUUGUUUUAUAUACACAACUAUAAUCCCCUGGCCCUGAAAAAAAAAAGUCCUGAUUUUUCGCAUUUGCUAGCUGGCCACUCUGCAAGCUAACAACAAUCAGUGGCUUCCAGGCCUGGGAAUGUGAUAUCUCAAGGUCAGUUUGGUCCUGAGAAGGGUAGAUGGAGGGAUGGCAAGCUACUCAAACUCAGUCACUGGAUGUUUCUGCCAAAAUUAGUAUCAGCCAAAUAAUGUUAUUUUAUCUGUUGCCAUUAGGUUUCAGAGUUAACAUUUCAGUGAGAUGACUGGCAUCCAUUCACACUUCUUUCCCGGGUGUUAUUUUCAGCUAUCUGAAGAAAGUGCUGCAUCAAGUCAAAAUAGAUUAUCUUGACAACCAUAAGAGGUUAAAUCUUAGUUUGCUUCCUACUGAAUUUCACCAUUCUUAAAAACCAUGAAUUAGAGGAAACAUAUGAGAACUCUACAAAUAAUUAUGAAGGAUGAUUCAUUUAAAGAGAGCUGUCUCCAAUUCAUAUGUAUAUACUGCAUGUUCCUAAAGGCUGCCUUGGGUGAGACUUCAUCAAAUUUCCAUGUAGAACAGAAUUUACAGACCAAAGAGAAUACAUAUGGAUUAAUGAGAUUAGAACUACA